Molecule: transfer RNA, 65 nt
Filed under: Pseudomyrmex pallidus
Lineage: Eukaryota; Metazoa; Arthropoda; Insecta; Hymenoptera; Formicidae
Description: tRNA-Tyr
Source: RNAcentral
AAUGUCAUGUCUGAUUUAGGUAAUAAACUGUAAAUUUAUUUAAGGAAGAUUAUUUCCUGGCAUUA